UCCAUAACAAUUAAGAUUAGCGAUAACUUUGGUGACAUGUAUCUGCAAAACUUUCAACAUAUAGUAAACUUAGCAAACUAAUUAGUAUCAGUGUACUAAAGAACCAAUUGAAAUUUUCACAGACCCCAAAAUACUCACUUUUUAUAUAAAAAUAAAUAUUUAAAAAAAUAAUAAAGUAUACAUAUAAAAUUAAUAAACGGGUUGCAAAGUGUCAGUAACACAUGAUUCAGAGAACUCCUUCAUUU
RNAcentral lists this long non-coding RNA (245 nucleotides) under Brassica rapa (field mustard). Its description in RNAcentral is "long non-coding RNA (BRAP_LNC007177)". Lineage: Eukaryota; Viridiplantae; Streptophyta; Magnoliopsida; Brassicales; Brassicaceae. The record is from RNAcentral.